AUACAUUUCUAGAUAACUAGAUAUAUGUACUGUAUUUAUAACUCUUUGCUAAUUUAUUUUUUUUCUGAUACAAAUUUGAAUUUGUUUUUGCUUGUGUCAAAAAUGAUGUUUUUGUUAAUUCUUGCAUGCCCGCUUGCAAUAGAUUUGCAUCCCCCUAUGGGGCAUGGCCUACAAUUUAGAAAACACUGACCUAAUUAAUUAAAGGCUUUUGGGCUGAAUAAUGAUCCUCUAUAGGAUUGAUGCCCCAUUCCCAAAUUAUGGAAACAAUGCUACUUUGGAGCUCAAUAUGAUUCUGAGUUUCAAAAUUUGACUUGGAAUCAUGUUUUUUAUACAAAACAUAAAAUUGUUUGAAUUAUCUAUGUUCACCUCUUGGGAGGUGAACGCAGAUAAUUCAGCAGUUGGUUAUGGCAGUAAAUCGUCAACAACGAACAAUACAUUUUUUAACAGAGACGAACGAUGGAAGAGACAGCUGAGAUACCGUAGUUUUCUUUUCAAUGCACUUUUCUUGACUGCUUGUUCUAGUUGAACCGCCUGU
Molecule: long non-coding RNA, 535 nt
Filed under: Androctonus crassicauda
Lineage: Eukaryota; Metazoa; Arthropoda; Arachnida; Scorpiones; Buthidae
Source: RNAcentral